UGGCUUCACUUAUUCAGACCCGGAGAUCGGAACAGACACAAAUGGAAUGCAAUUGUUUUUAAUGUUUUUCCUGCUGAGACAUGCCAAAUAUCUGCUGUGAAAAAGGUCUAUAGGGCAAACAACAGUAUUCAUUAACCAAUGCUUUGCAACAGGAAACUAAAGUAAAGUAAAAAAAUAAAAUAAAAUAAAUAAAAAUGUGCAUGUGUGGAGUCCUAACCACUGAAAUGUCAUCGACAAAGUCAAGUAACAGCUUCUCCUGUUUGCAGAGGCAGAGUGUCUGCAGAGAGCAGUGGAAGGGAAAGCUGCCUCUGAUGAAGAGGAGGAGGACAGAGGGAUGAGGGAGGAAGGACAGUGCUGCCUGUUGGAGGUGAAGAAACACCGACUGCACGGCUGUGGAAACGGAUGUCAGAACCAUGUGAGUCACCUGCAUGAUAAAAACCUCAUCAGCACUUUAAAGGACAGCAGGGGGCGCUGCAGCCGGAAGGGACAACACCAAGAGCAGUCAGAGGGAAGCAGAGGCUUUGAAAAAGAAAAGAGGCCGAAAGAAGAGGAGGACAAGACAAGGCCGGAGGAGAAAGAAAACACACGUCUGUCUUUGCUUGAGGACAAACUCACAGAUGCCCUCACACUGCUGCUGCGGCUACGCAACAAGAACAUGACCCGCAGGGCCCUGGGGAAGAUAGUGAUGGAUACUCUGGAUGUGUGCAGGAGUGGAGAUGGUAGGUGUGUUCUAAAUAUUCCAGUUGUAUUCCAACUUCAAAUAAGAAUUCAUAUUUUAGAGUUGCUCUUUGCUGAAAUUGUCCUUGGUACCUUUCAAUUUCCCCAUCCAGGUCCAUCUCAGGUGUUGCAGUUAGCUGACGCCCUCUGUGUCCGGCUGUCUUCCAGGGAUCUCCUUGGAAACGGAGAGGAUGAUGAAGGAGGAGAGAGCAGAGAGAAAGCCCAGGAUCCAUCUUCAGGAUGUCAAACCAGCAGCAUCAACCCUCUGCUCAUCUCCUGUUAGAUAAAGGUUCUACAUGUAACUUUCAGAAUAAAGCUUGUUGCUUGUUAUUAAUGACACCGGUGGCCGUUAAGUGAACUGCAGUCAGCAUCCUGCUGCACGCGCUCACACUCCGAGUCCGUAGGCAUCCUGGGCAUGGACCAAAAUAAUGACGUGACACACACGAGACUGAGCGUGAUUAACCGGCAUCAUGUUGAUAGAUUGCUGGAGAAAAAAAUAAUAAUAUUUAGUAUACAAUUACUAUCUGUAAUGUUCCAAUAUUGUAUUUGGACAAUGUGGCUCCAGCACACACUUCAUGAGUCCACGCAUAUGUUGUGGUUUUAGCUGGCUAAUGUUAGCUAACACUAGUUUACUUCCUAACGUGGACGAAUUGCUAGCUAGCUAAUGUAGCAAAAUACUGUCUUGAGUGCGCUGAUUCAUCCAGACUCCCGGGGCUGAUCUGGCUGGUAAAUUGGCUCGCUUGCCGCUUGCAAAUUACUUUAUCAGCUAACGUUACGAAGCAACCAACGGCAGAUUUAUGUCGCGUAGCUAGGUUACAGCCAGCUGGCUGUUGCACAGAAUGCACACUGUUGGCAAGGCAACCGGGAGCGAGCAUUACGUCACAUGCUUUGGAUUGUCCCAGAUAAACGUCCCAAGUCCUUUACAUAGAUAUCACAGGCUGUUAUAGGCAACCAGUAAAGACGGGACAUGUCUCAGUUAUAAAGCGACGUUACAAUCUACUCAUUGGCAAAACAAAGCAAUUACAUCAUGCUAAAGGUUACAUAUAGAACCUUUAACUGAGCUACUACUGUAGUAUUUAUCCUUUUCCUCUUUUAUCUCUGGCUUGUUUGCACACAUGUACUUUUCCCAGUUGUGGAACUGGUUCAACGUAUUUAAAGAUACAUUUUAUUUACUCUCUUUGUGUUCUAUUUUGUAUCUA
This is a long non-coding RNA of Cottoperca gobio, 1916 nucleotides long. Lineage: Eukaryota; Metazoa; Chordata; Actinopteri; Perciformes; Bovichtidae. The record is from Ensembl.